Molecule: ribosomal RNA, 253 nt
Filed under: uncultured bacterium
Lineage: Bacteria
Description: partial 16S ribosomal RNA
Rfam family: Bacterial small subunit ribosomal RNA
Source: RNAcentral
UACAGGGGGGGCAAGCGUUGUUCGGAAUUACUGGGCGUAAAGGGUUCGUAGGUUGCUCGCUAAGUCACACGUGAAAUCCCUCAGCUUAACUGGGGAACUGCGUGUGAGACUGGGGAGCUUGAGGGUAGGAGAGGAAUGCGGAAUUCCAGGUGUAGCGGUGAAAUGCGUAGAUAUCUGGAGGAACACCGGUGGCGAAGGCGGCAUUCUGGACUACAUCUGACACUGAUGAACGAAAGCCAGGGGAGCAAACGGG